Molecule: long non-coding RNA, 735 nt
Organism: Populus trichocarpa (black cottonwood)
Lineage: Eukaryota; Viridiplantae; Streptophyta; Magnoliopsida; Malpighiales; Salicaceae
Exons: 2
Source: RefSeq, a predicted model, not a curated record
GGAUCUGAGAACCAUGAUCUAUCUAACAGUCGAGGGGCAUGUUGGAAGGUUUCGAGAAUCAUAGUUAAUAUUGGGAAAUUCCAAACUACAGGAAUUGAUGUGGAAUAUUUCUAGAUAUAUAAGGGCUAAGUAUAGUUAACGCAUUAAGAAACAACAAUCCCUACUGUCUGUCUUCCUUGCAGCUACUGACCGUUAACCUCAGCUUCCAGCUCCCAGGCUCAGCCGCCACAGGUUCCAUUUUGAUAUUUUGUUCAAAAAAUGAAGAGAAUGACAGCACUAGGAUUUGAAGGUUCCGCAAACAAGAUAGGAGUUGGGGUUGAUACAUUAGAUGGUACAAUUUUGUCAAAUCCAAGACAUACUUAUAUAACCCCAGCUGGUCAAGGUUUUUUGCCAAGAGAAACAGCCCAACAUCAUUUGCAACAUGUUUUACCACUUAUAAAAUCUGCUUUAGAGACUGCGGGAAUUACCUCAGAUGAAAUUGACUGUCUUUGUUACACUAAAGGUCCUGGUAUGGGAGCACCUUUACAAGUGUCUGCUGUUGUUGUUAGAGUUCUUUCACAGCUGUGGAAGAAACCAAUUGUUGCUGUUAAUCAUUGUGUUGCACAUAUUGAGAUGGGUAGGAUUGUUACUGGGGCGGAUGAUCCUGUUAUUAAACCUUUGAUGGGUUUCGAUAGCUGAUCUUUCGUUUGUUAUUGCUUUGUCACCGUGAUUUUCAAAGAAUUUAUUUUUUAUUUA